AGAGUUUGAUCCUGGCUCAGGACGAACGCUGGCGGCGUGCUUAACACAUGCAAGUCGAACGGUGACGAGGAGCUUGCUCCUCUGAUCAGUGGCGAACGGGUGAGUAACACGUGAGCAACCUGCCCCAGACUCUGGGAUAACAGUUGGAAACAGCUGCUAAUACCGGAUACGAGACGGAGAGGCAUCUCUACCGUCUGGAAAGUUUUUCGGUCUGGGAUGGACUCGCGGCCUAUCAGCUAGUUGGUGAGGUAAUGGCUCACCAAGGCGACGACGGGUAGCCGGCCUGAAAGGGCGNACCGGCCACANUGGNANUGANACACGGCCAAACUUCUACCGGANGCAACAGUGGGGAAUAUUGNACAAUGGGCNAAAGCCUNAUNCANCGACCCCGCGUGAGGGAUGACGGCCUUCGGGUUGUAAACCUCUUUAACAGGGAAGAAGCGAAAGUGACGGUACCUGCAGAAGAAGCACCGGCUAACUACGUGCCAGCAGCCGCGGUAAUACGUANGGUGCGAGCGUUGUCCGGAAUUAUUGGGCGUAAAGAGCUUGUAGGCGGUUUGUCGCGUCUGCAGCGAAAAUCCGAGGCUCAACCUCGGACUUGCUUGUGGGUACCGGCAGACUAGAGUAUGGUAGGGGAGACCGGAAUUNCUGGUGUANCGGUGGAAUGCGCANAUAUCAGGAGGAACACCGAUGGCGAAG
This 699-nucleotide ribosomal RNA is filed under the name uncultured Gram-positive bacterium. RNAcentral describes it as "partial 16S ribosomal RNA". It matches the Rfam family "Bacterial small subunit ribosomal RNA", at positions 8 to 720 of the family's 1533-position model. The record is from RNAcentral.